This 331-nucleotide ribosomal RNA is filed under the name Paravaejovis hoffmanni. Its description in RNAcentral is "partial 12S ribosomal RNA". The record is from RNAcentral. Lineage: Eukaryota; Metazoa; Arthropoda; Arachnida; Scorpiones; Vaejovidae.
UAAAAUUUAUAAAAUUAGGUAGUAAAGAAAUUUCUGAAACCUAAAGAAUUUGGCGGUAUUUUAAAUAAUUGGAGGAACCUGUUACUUAAUUGACAACCCACAACAUAUCUUACCUAAAUUUUAUUUGUAUAUCGUCGUUUUGAUAAUAUUUAAAAAUAAUAAUCGAUCUUAAUAAAUUUUUAAAAUUCAGAUCAAGGUGCAGUAUAUUUAGGCAGUAAUGGGUUACAAUAUAUAUUAUAUAUUACGAAUAUAAAAUUGGAAUUAUAUUGAAGGUGGAUUCAAAAGUAAAAUUAAAUUAAAAAGUUAAUUUGAUUAAUAAUUUAAAAUAUGC